RNAcentral lists this ribosomal RNA (292 nucleotides) under uncultured bacterium. Its description in RNAcentral is "partial 16S ribosomal RNA". It matches the Rfam family "Bacterial small subunit ribosomal RNA", at positions 505 to 796 of the family's 1533-position model. The record is from RNAcentral.
GUGCCAGCAGCCGCGGUAAUACGUAGGGUGCGAGCGUUAAUCGGAAUUACUGGGCGUAAAGCGUGCGCAGGCGGUUUUGUAAGUCAGAUGUGAAAUCCCCGAGCUCAACUUGGGAACUGCGUUUGAAACUACAAGACUAGAAUAUGUCAGAGGGGGGUAGAAUUCCACGUGUAGCAGUGAAAUGCGUAGAGAUGUGGAGGAAUACCAAUGGCGAAGGCAGCCCCCUGGGAUAAUAUUGACGCUCAUGCACGAAAGCGUGGGGAGCAAACAGGAUUAGAAACCCCCGUAGUCC